GGGGUUGUAACUCAGUGGUAGAGUGUUCGCUUUGCUUGCGAAAAGCCCGGAGUUCAAUCCUCCGCAACUCCA
Daphnia pulex (common water flea) is the source of this 72-nucleotide non-coding RNA. Lineage: Eukaryota; Metazoa; Arthropoda; Branchiopoda; Diplostraca; Daphniidae. The record is from Rfam.